Molecule: ribosomal RNA, 191 nt
Filed under: uncultured Staphylococcus sp.
Lineage: Bacteria; Bacillati; Bacillota; Bacilli; Caryophanales; Staphylococcaceae
Description: partial 16S ribosomal RNA
Rfam family: Bacterial small subunit ribosomal RNA
Source: RNAcentral
UCGGGAAACCGGAGCUAAUACCGGAUAAUAUAUUGAACCGCAUGGUUCAAUAGUGAAAGACGGUUUUGCUGUCACUUAUAGAUGGAUCCGCGUCGCAUUAGCUAGUUGGUAAGGUAACGGCUUACCAAGGCAACGAUGCGUAGCCGACCUGAGAGGGUGAUCGGCCACACUGGAACUGAGACACGGUCCAG